This 391-nucleotide ribosomal RNA is filed under the name uncultured bacterium. RNAcentral describes it as "bacterial SSU rRNA". It matches the Rfam family "Bacterial small subunit ribosomal RNA", at positions 505 to 898 of the family's 1533-position model. The record is from RNAcentral.
GUGUCAGCCGCCGCGGUAAUACGGAGGGUGCAAGCGUUAUCCGGAUUUACUGGGUUUAAAGGGUGCGUAGGCGGGCAUGUAAGUCAGUGGUGAAAUACCGGAGCUUAACUUCGGAACUGCCAUUGAUACUAUAUGUCUUGAAUAUUGUGGAGGUAAGCGGAAUAUGUCAUGUAGCGGUGAAAUGCAUAGAUAUGACAUAGAACACCGAUUGCGGAGGCAGCUUGCUACACAAAUAUUGACGCUGAGGCACGAAAGCGUGGGGAUCAAACAGGAUUAGAUACCCUGGUAGUCCACGCCCUAAACGAUGAUUACUCGACAUUAGCGAUAAACAGUUAGUGUCUGAGCGAAAGCAUUAAGUAAUCCACCUGGGAAGUACGACCGCAAGGUUGAA